RNAcentral lists this ribosomal RNA (429 nucleotides) under Pseudomonadota bacterium. RNAcentral's name for it is "Proteobacteria bacterium partial 16S ribosomal RNA". It matches the Rfam family "Bacterial small subunit ribosomal RNA", at positions 355 to 776 of the family's 1533-position model. The record is from RNAcentral. Lineage: Bacteria; Pseudomonadati; Pseudomonadota.
UGGGGAAUAUUGGACAAUGGGCGAAAGCCUGAUCCAGCCAUGCCGCGUGUGUGAAGAAGGUCUUCGGAUUGUAAAGCACUUUAAGUUGGGAGGAAGGGCAGUAAGCGAAUACCUUGCUGUUUUGACGUUACCGACAGAAUAAGCACCGGCUAACUCUGUGCCAGCAGCCGCGGUAAUACAGAGGGUGCAAGCGUUAAUCGGAAUUACUGGGCGUAAAGCGCGCGUAGGUGGUUCGUUAAGUUGAAUGUGAAAGCCCCGGGCUCAACCUGGGAACUGCAUCCAAAACUGGCGAGCUAGAGUAGGGCAGAGGGUGGUGGAAUUUCCUGUGUAGCGGUGAAAUGCGUAGAUAUAGGAAGGAACACCAGUGGCGAAGGCGACCGCCUUGGCUCAUACUGACACUGAGGUGCGAAAGCGUGGGGAGCAAACAGG